GUGGGGAAUCUUCCGCAAUGGACGAAAGUCUGACGGAGCGACGCCGCGUGAGUGAAGAAGGCCUUCGGGUCGUAAAGCUCUGUCAUCAGGGACGAACGGCCGGUGGAGUGGAAAGCCACCGGAUUGACGGUACCUGAGAAGGAAGCCACGGCUAACUACGUGCCAGCAGCCGCGGUAAUACGUAGGUGGCAAGCGUUGUCCGGAAUUAUUUGGCGUAAAGCGCGCGCAGGUGGGAUCUUAAGUCCAUUUUUAAAGUUCGGAGCUCAACUCCGUGAUGGGAUGGAAACUGGGAUUCUUGAGUACCGGAGAGGAAAGCGGAAUUCCCCGUGUAGCGGUGAAAUGCGUAGAUAUGGGGAGGAACACCAGUGGCGAAGGCGGCUUUCUGGACGGUGUCUGACACUGAGGCGCGAAAGCCAGGGGAGCGAACGGGAUUAGAAACCCCGGUAGUCC
RNAcentral lists this ribosomal RNA (450 nucleotides) under uncultured bacterium. RNAcentral describes it as "partial 16S ribosomal RNA". It matches the Rfam family "Bacterial small subunit ribosomal RNA", at positions 354 to 796 of the family's 1533-position model. The record is from RNAcentral.